This 282-nucleotide long non-coding RNA is filed under the name Mytilus galloprovincialis (Mediterranean mussel). Lineage: Eukaryota; Metazoa; Mollusca; Bivalvia; Mytilida; Mytilidae. The record is from RNAcentral.
ACUAGAACUUUAUUGUCACUGGUGAUAUGGACUGUUCCAGAACGGAAUGGUGACACAUUAUAUACUGUGUCUGUUAGUGUACCUGUAUUACUACUGAUUUGUUUUAGUUGCUUUCCAUCAGUAGAUAUAAGUAGAUUAUUUGAUUGAGUAACAGCCAUACCAUAAACCUCCAUAUUAAAGCUGGAUAGUAUGUUCAGUUUGGUUCCUUCUGGUUUUACUCUCUGUAAUACUUCAUCUCUUGCACUAUAUAUCCACAGUGAAUCAUCAUGGCAAUAAGACAUA